This 1542-nucleotide ribosomal RNA is filed under the name Citrobacter amalonaticus. RNAcentral's name for it is "bacterial SSU rRNA". It matches the Rfam family "Bacterial small subunit ribosomal RNA". The record is from RNAcentral. Lineage: Bacteria; Pseudomonadati; Pseudomonadota; Gammaproteobacteria; Enterobacterales; Enterobacteriaceae.
AAAUUGAAGAGUUUGAUCAUGGCUCAGAUUGAACGCUGGCGGCAGGCCUAACACAUGCAAGUCGAACGGUAACAGGAAGCAGCUUGCUGCUUUGCUGACGAGUGGCGGACGGGUGAGUAAUGUCUGGGAAACUGCCCGAUGGAGGGGGAUAACUACUGGAAACGGUAGCUAAUACCGCAUAACGUCGCAAGACCAAAGAGGGGGACCUUCGGGCCUCUUGCCAUCGGAUGUGCCCAGAUGGGAUUAGCUUGUUGGUGAGGUAACGGCUCACCAAGGCGACGAUCCCUAGCUGGUCUGAGAGGAUGACCAGCCACACUGGAACUGAGACACGGUCCAGACUCCUACGGGAGGCAGCAGUGGGGAAUAUUGCACAAUGGGCGCAAGCCUGAUGCAGCCAUGCCGCGUGUAUGAAGAAGGCCUUCGGGUUGUAAAGUACUUUCAGCGGGGAGGAAGGUGUUGUGGUUAAUAACCGCAACAAUUGACGUUACCCGCAGAAGAAGCACCGGCUAACUCCGUGCCAGCAGCCGCGGUAAUACGGAGGGUGCAAGCGUUAAUCGGAAUUACUGGGCGUAAAGCGCACGCAGGCGGUCUGUCAAGUCGGAUGUGAAAUCCCCGGGCUCAACCUGGGAACUGCAUUCGAAACUGGCAGGCUUGAGUCUCGUAGAGGGGGGUAGAAUUCCAGGUGUAGCGGUGAAAUGCGUAGAGAUCUGGAGGAAUACCGGUGGCGAAGGCGGCCCCCUGGACGAAGACUGACGCUCAGGUGCGAAAGCGUGGGGAGCAAACAGGAUUAGAUACCCUGGUAGUCCACGCCGUAAACGAUGUCUAUUUGGAGGUUGUGCCCUUGAGGCGUGGCUUCCGGAGCUAACGCGUUAAAUAGACCGCCUGGGGAGUACGGCCGCAAGGUUAAAACUCAAAUGAAUUGACGGGGGCCCGCACAAGCGGUGGAGCAUGUGGUUUAAUUCGAUGCAACGCGAAGAACCUUACCUGGUCUUGACAUCCACAGAACUUUCCAGAGAUGGAUUGGUGCCUUCGGGAACUGUGAGACAGGUGCUGCAUGGCUGUCGUCAGCUCGUGUUGUGAAAUGUUGGGUUAAGUCCCGCAACGAGCGCAACCCUUAUCCUUUGUUGCCAGCGGUCCGGCCGGGAACUCAAAGGAGACUGCCAGUGAUAAACUGGAGGAAGGUGGGGAUGACGUCAAGUCAUCAUGGCCCUUACGACCAGGGCUACACACGUGCUACAAUGGCAUAUACAAAGAGAAGCGACCUCGCGAGAGCAAGCGGACCUCAUAAAGUAUGUCGUAGUCCGGAUUGGAGUCUGCAACUCGACUCCAUGAAGUCGGAAUCGCUAGUAAUCGUGGAUCAGAAUGCCACGGUGAAUACGUUCCCGGGCCUUGUACACACCGCCCGUCACACCAUGGGAGUGGGUUGCAAAAGAAGUAGGUAGCUUAACCUUCGGGAGGGCGCUUACCACUUUGUGAUUCAUGACUGGGGUGAAGUCGUAACAAGGUAACCGUAGGGGAACCUGCGGUUGGAUCACCUCCUUA